RNAcentral lists this ribosomal RNA (468 nucleotides) under uncultured bacterium. RNAcentral describes it as "partial 16S ribosomal RNA". It matches the Rfam family "Bacterial small subunit ribosomal RNA", at positions 28 to 507 of the family's 1533-position model. The record is from RNAcentral.
GACGAACGCUGGCGGCGUGCUUAACACAUGCAAGUCGAACGGAAAGGCCCUGCUUUUGUGGGGUGCUCGAGUGGCGAACGGGUGUGUAACACGUGAGUAACCUGCCCUUGACUUUGGGAUAACUUCAGGAAACUGGGGCUAAUACCGGAUAGGAGCUCCUGCUGCAUGGGGGGGGUUGGAAAGUUUCGGCGGUUGGGGAUGGACUCGCGGCUUAUCAGCUUGUUGGUGGGGGAGUGGCUUACCAAGGCUUUGACGGGUAGCCGGCGUGAGAGGGUGACCGGCCACAUUGGGACUGAGAUACGGCCCAGACUCCUACGGGAGGCAGCAGUGGGGAAUAUUGCACAAUGGGGGGAAGCCUGAUGCAGCAAGGCCGCGUGCGGGAGGCCGGCCUUCGGUUUGUAAACCGCUUUCGCCUGUGACGAAGCGUUAGUGACGGUAAUUGGUAAAGAAGCACCGGCUAACUACGUG